RNAcentral lists this long non-coding RNA (315 nucleotides) under Anser brachyrhynchus (Pink-footed goose). RNAcentral describes it as "lncRNA (ENSABRG00000018433.1)". Lineage: Eukaryota; Metazoa; Chordata; Aves; Anseriformes; Anatidae. The record is from RNAcentral.
GUGGUAUGGGUUAGGCUUUUCUGCAUAGUUUUGUGUGGCUCUCUAAAGCAUAUCCAGUUUUUGUAGCUGUGACUGGUACUGAGAGUUGUAAAAGUUGUGAAGUUUAUGCCGGUGUGAAACUGCAACAGGGUCUUGAGACUUCUGAGACUGCUGCCUAUGAGAAAUACUGCUUUCAGCGGAUUGUGAUGGAGAUGCUUCUGGUGGUAUACAUUGAAGUUCCAAUUGGAAACCAGCUAAGGGAUGGAAAGAGCAUACUCUGGGUUUGGCUAAAUAAGGUCCUGUGAGACCCUUACUCCAUUCUCAGGUCAGGUACUC